Oncorhynchus tshawytscha (Chinook salmon) is the source of this 454-nucleotide long non-coding RNA. Lineage: Eukaryota; Metazoa; Chordata; Actinopteri; Salmoniformes; Salmonidae. The record is from Ensembl.
AGAACAUGGCCAAGAUGUUCAAAUGUUCAUAAAUGACCAGCAUGGUCGAAUAAUAAUAAGGCAGAACAGUUGAAACUGGAGCAGCAGCACAGUCAGAUGGAAGUUGAAACUGGAGCAGCAGCAUGGCCAGGUGGACUGGGACAGCAAGGAGUCAUCAUGUCAGGUAGUCCUGGAGCUCAGGUCCUAGGGCUCAGGUCCUCCGGAGAGAGAAAGAAAGAGAGAAGGAGAGAAUUAGAGAACGCACACUUAGAUUCACACAGGACACCGAAUAGGACAGGAGAAGUACUCCAGAUAUAACAAACUGACCCCAGCCCCCCGACACAUAAACUACUGCAGCAUAAAUACUGGAGGCUGAGACAGGAGGGGUCAGGAGACACUGUGGCCCCAUCUGAGGUCACCCCCGGACAGGGCCAAACAGGAAGGAUAUAACCCCACCCACUUUGCCAAAGCACAG